AGAGCGAACGCUGGCGGCAGGCCUAACACAUGCAAGUCGAACGAACUCUUCGGAGUUAGUGGCGGACGGGUGAGUAACACGUGGGAACGUGCCUUUAGGUUCGGAAUAACUCAGGGAAACUUGUGCUAAUACCGAAUGUGCCCUUCGGGGGAAAGAUUUAUCGCCUUUAGAGCGGCCCGCGUCUGAUUAGCUUGUUGGUGGGGUAAUGGCCCACCAAGGCUACGAUCAGUAGCUGGUCUGAGAGGAUGACCAGCCACAUUGGGACUGAGACACGGCCCAAACUCCUACGGGAGGCAGCAGUGGGAAUCUUGCGCAAUGGGCGAAAGCCUGACGCAGCCAUGCCGCGUGUAUGAUGAAGGUCUUAGGAUUAGUAAAAUACUUUCACCGGUGAAGAUAAUGACUGUAGCCGGAGAAGAGGCCCCGAUAACUUCGUGCCAGCAGCCGC
RNAcentral lists this ribosomal RNA (445 nucleotides) under uncultured soil bacterium. RNAcentral describes it as "bacterial SSU rRNA". It matches the Rfam family "Bacterial small subunit ribosomal RNA", at positions 26 to 518 of the family's 1533-position model. The record is from RNAcentral.